Non-coding RNA from Danio rerio (zebrafish), 1315 nucleotides. The record is from RefSeq and is a predicted model, not a curated record. NCBI's taxonomy places the organism in Eukaryota, Metazoa, Chordata, Actinopteri, Cypriniformes, Danionidae.
AAGUUGUUAAAUUUAAUGUAAUAACAUAGUGUGAAAAUAUGACCUUGAUUUAUUAAAUCUAGACAUAUAAAAAUUUUAACCAUUAUAAAAAAUAAUAGGUGAAAUCAACAUUUAAUGCUCAUCUCAGAAUUAGAUUUUAAGUAAAAUUUUAUACAAAUACCCAUGUGUUUUACUUGUUUAACUUGUAAAACUUUUUAGGACAUCAAUAUACAUGCCUUCUGUUUAUUCUUUCUAUUAGAAUAUCUUGAGUACUCAAAUCAGCAGUAAAAGUUCACACAAAAAACUGUUUGUAGUGUACAGGGCCUGAACUAAAACAUAUAAUUUUAUAAAUGGGGAUUUAUUAACUUUGUAGGGGAUCUGUAAUAAGCAAUGUUUAAUAUGUAUUAAAGACAAACACAUUUGAAGACAUGAUACUGUCAUACUACAAACAUUUUUUCUUUUAUAUUAAAAUGUUUUUUACAUGAAGAUUUUGAUGUUAAAUGCAGGUGUUAGCACAGGUGGGGCUGGGUAAAAUGUUGCACUGUGUUGUAGACAAUAGCCGUGUUUAAGUGUGUGAGGUGCUGCACAUAUUGAUCAUGUAGGACAUCAGUGAUCGUCAAACAUAGCUGAAAUUAUAAUUUUACACUAGAAUUUGCCACUACAACCAUCACCUCAUCUAAUAAAGCCAGAAUCCAGUCGUAGUAUUUGACAACCAGUCCUCCUCCUUUAAGCAUUUAGCAAAUAUUUCUUAGACAUGCCGGUUACCACUUUACAAUAUCGGGAAGAUUAGGACUUUUUUAUUUAGUUGUCAUCCUAUUUGUCGGUGAAAACAUGACAAAUGACAUAAUGACAAAAUUAUUUGUCAAUGACAUGUUUUCACUGACAAAAAUAAAGAAAUGAACACAAAAAGAAAUGGUGAUAAAUAGACUGUGGGAUAAGAAUGAUAUACAUUUUUUAACUAUGCUUAGAUUCUCCUAUUUAAACCUGUUAAAAUGUCAAAGUUAAAUAUUUAUAUUUUCUUAACAGGAACAAUCAAAUGACAAAGGUGAGCUGCAAACAAAAAACGGGUCUGCUGAGAAGAGUGACUUACAAACAGAACGGAUCUGCUGAGAAGAGUGACUUAGAAACAGAGAACGGGUCUGCUGAGAAGAGUGACUUAGAAACAGAGAACGAAAUCAGUAAACAGGACUGAAGUGAAUCAGAAACGUAGUGAAUAUGUUCCAUCAGACAAAGAGAGCACUGGUGAUGAGCUUGAUUCAGAAAGGGAGUCAGGGGUGCAAUUAAACACUAUUGACACAUUGAUUCCUUCAGAUAAGGAUUCUUUACAUACAAGCAA